UCAGUUUUCUUCUAGAAAAAGUAGCCAUCAGCCAUACAGUAGAAUGCGUAGAUUAAGCCACUUGUUCUUUAAUUUGAAGGAUGCAUCAAUAGACCUUGAUUCAGUCCAUUAACAAACAUUUUAUGGACACCAUAUCUGACCCAGAAAACAGUUCUUCAUGUCAUAGCUAAGAAAAUGUUGUUCUACUCAUCACAAUUUUGGAACCAACCAUUUAAGUAGCUA
RNAcentral lists this long non-coding RNA (222 nucleotides) under Elaeis guineensis (African oil palm). RNAcentral's name for it is "long non-coding RNA (EGUI_LNC027439)". Lineage: Eukaryota; Viridiplantae; Streptophyta; Magnoliopsida; Arecales; Arecaceae. The record is from RNAcentral.